CUGGAUAAACGGGCCUCGAUCCCGUAAACUUUUAAUUAACAGCUAAACACCCCAUCCAGCGGGCUUUUAUCCAA
RNAcentral lists this transfer RNA (74 nucleotides) under Lamprolepis smaragdina. Its description in RNAcentral is "tRNA-Asx". Lineage: Eukaryota; Metazoa; Chordata; Lepidosauria; Squamata; Scincidae. The record is from RNAcentral.